GGAAAAGUGGCUGAGCGGUCAAAGGCGGCAGACUGUAAAUCUGUUGAUGUUUCAUCUUCAGAGGUUCGAAUCCUCUCUUUUCCA
RNAcentral lists this transfer RNA (84 nucleotides) under Rhodovulum sp. RNAcentral describes it as "tRNA-Tyr". It matches the Rfam family "tRNA". From Rfam's summary of the family: Transfer RNA (tRNA) molecules are approximately 80 nucleotides in length. Their secondary structure includes four short double-helical elements and three loops (D, anti-codon, and T loops). Further hydrogen bonds mediate the characteristic L-shaped molecular structure. tRNAs have two regions of fundamental functional importance: the anti-codon, which is responsible for specific mRNA codon recognition, and the 3' end, to which the tRNAs corresponding amino acid is attached (by aminoacyl-tRNA synthetases). tRNAs cope with the degeneracy of the genetic code in two manners: having more than one tRNA (with a specific anti-codon) for a particular amino acid; and 'wobble' base-pairing, i.e. permitting non-standard base-pairing at the 3rd anti-codon position. The record is from RNAcentral. Lineage: Bacteria; Pseudomonadati; Pseudomonadota; Alphaproteobacteria; Rhodobacterales; Paracoccaceae.